This 508-nucleotide ribosomal RNA is filed under the name uncultured bacterium. RNAcentral's name for it is "partial 16S ribosomal RNA". It matches the Rfam family "Bacterial small subunit ribosomal RNA", at positions 28 to 507 of the family's 1533-position model. The record is from RNAcentral.
GACGAACGCUGGCGGCGUGCCUAAUACAUGCAAGUCGAACGCUUCUUUCCUCCCGAGUGCUUGCACUCAAUUGGAAAGAGGAGUGGCGUACGGGUGAGUAACACUUGGGUAACCUACCCAUCAGCGGGGGAUAACACUUGGAAACAGGUGCUAAUACCGCAUAACAGUUUAUGCCGCAUGGCAUAAGAGUGAAAGGCGCUCUCGGGUGUCGCUGAUGGAUGGACCCGCGGUGCAUUAGCUAGUUGGUGAGGUAACGGCUCACCAAGGCAACGAUGCGUAGCCGACCUGAGAGGGUGAUCGGCCACACUGGGACUGAGACACGGCCCAGACUCCUACGGGAGGCAGCAGUAGGGAAUCUUCCGCAAUGGGCGAAAGUCUGACCGAGCAACGCCGCGUGAGUGAAGAAGGUUUUCGGAUCGUAAAACUCUGUUGUUAGGGAAGAACAAGUACGUAAGUAACUGAACACCCCCUGACGGUACCUAAUCAGAAAGCCACGGCUAACUACGUG